This 59-nucleotide transfer RNA is filed under the name Cricetulus griseus (Chinese hamster). Lineage: Eukaryota; Metazoa; Chordata; Mammalia; Rodentia; Cricetidae. The record is from Rfam by way of RNAcentral.
UGGCUCAGUGGGUAGGAGCACUUGCUGUGUAUGCAUGUGGACCUGAGUUCAAAUCUCAG